This 301-nucleotide ribosomal RNA is filed under the name uncultured bacterium. RNAcentral's name for it is "partial 16S ribosomal RNA". It matches the Rfam family "Bacterial small subunit ribosomal RNA", at positions 509 to 807 of the family's 1533-position model. The record is from RNAcentral.
CAGCCGCCACGGUAACACCGAGGGUGCGAGCGUUAAUCGGAUUUACUGGGCGUAAAGCGUGCGUAGGCGGCUUCUUAAGUCGGAUGUGAAAUCCCUGAGCUUAACUUAGGAAUUGCAUUCGAUACUGGGAAGCUAGAGUAUGGGAGAGGAUGGUAGAAUUCCAGGUGUAGCGGUGAAAUGCGUAGAGAUCUGGAGGAAUACCGAUGGCGAAGGCAGCCAUCUGGCCUAAUACUGACGCUGAGGUACGAAAGCAUGGGGAGCAAACAGGAUUAGAUACCCCCGUAGUCCCUGUCUCUUAUAC